Molecule: transfer RNA, 76 nt
Filed under: Candidatus Jordarchaeia archaeon
Lineage: Archaea; Promethearchaeati; Candidatus Jordarchaeia
Description: tRNA-Val
Rfam family: tRNA
About the family: Transfer RNA (tRNA) molecules are approximately 80 nucleotides in length. Their secondary structure includes four short double-helical elements and three loops (D, anti-codon, and T loops).
Source: RNAcentral
GGGCGAGUAGUCUAGUGGCUAUGACACCGCCUUGACGUGGCGGAGGUCGCAGGUUCAAAUCCUGCCUCGCCCACCA